AGAGUUUGAUCCUGGCUCAGAUUGAACGCUGGCGGCAUGCCUUACACAUGCAAGUCGAACGGUAACAGGUUAAGCUGACGAGUGGCGAACGGGUGAGUAAUGUAUCGGAACGUGCCCAGUCGUGGGGGAUAACUACUCGAAAGAGUGGCUAAUACCGCAUGAGACCUGAGGGUGAAAGCGGGGGAUCGCAAGACCUCGCGCGAUUGGAGCGGCCGAUAUCAGAUUAGCUAGUUGGCGGGGUAAAAGCCCACCAAGGCGACGAUCUGUAGCUGGUCUGAGAGGACGACCAGCCACACUGGGACUGAGACACGGCCCAGACUCCUACGGGAGGCAGCAGUGGGGAAUUUUGGACAAUGGACGAAAGUCUGAUCCAGCCAUGCCGCGUGCGGGAAGAAGGCCUUCGGGUUGUAAACCGCUUUUGUCAGGGAAGAAACGACGUCCUCUAAUACAGGGUGUUAAUGACGGUACCUGAAGAAUAAGCACCGGCUAACUACGUGCCAGCAGCCGCGGUAAUACGUAGGGUGCAAGCGUUAAUCGGAAUUACUGGGCGUAAAGCGUGCGCAGGCGGUUAUGCAAGACAGAUGUGAAAUCCCCGGGCUCAACCUGGGAACUGCAUUUGUGACUGCAUGGCUAGAGUACGGUAGAGGGGGAUGGAAUUCCGCGUGUAGCAGUGAAAUGCGUAGAUAUGCGGAGGAACACCGAUGGCGAAGGCAAUCCCCUGGACCUGUACUGACGCUCAUGCACGAAAGCGUGGGGAGCAAACAGGAUUAGAUACCCUGGUAGUCCACGCCCUAAACGAUGUCAACUGGUUGUUGGGAGGGUUUCUUCUCAGUAACGUAGCUAACGCGUGAAGUUGACCGCCUGGGGAGUACGGCCGCAAGGUUGAAACUCAAAGUAAUUGACGGGGACCCGCACAAGCGGUGGAUGAUGUGGUUUAAUUCGAUGCAACGCGAAAAACCUUACCUACCCUUGACAUGUCUGGAAUCCUGAAGAGAUUUGGGAGUGCUCGAAAGAGAGCCAGAACACAGGUGCUGCAUGGCCGUCGUCAGCUCGUGUCGUGAGAUGUUGGGUUAAGUCCCGCAACGAGCGCAACCCUUGUCAUUAGUUGCUACGAAAGGGCACUCUAAUGAGACUGCCGGUGACAAACCGGAGGAAGGUGGGGAUGACGUCAGGUCAUCAUGGCCCUUAUGGGUAGGGCUACACACGUCAUACAAUGGCCGGUACAGAGGGCUGCCAACCCGCGAGGGGGAGCCAAUCCCAGAAAACCGGUCGUAGUCCGGAUCGUAGUCUGCAACUCGACUGCGUGAAGUCGGAAUCGCUAGUAAUCGCGGAUCAGCUUGCCGCGGUGAAUACGUUCCCGGGUCUUGUACACACCGCCCGUCACACCAUGGGAGCGGGUUCUGCCAGAAGUAGUUAGCCUAACCGCAAGGGGGGCGAUUACCACGGCAGGGUUCGUGACUGGGGUGAAGUCGUAACAAGGUA
RNAcentral lists this ribosomal RNA (1482 nucleotides) under metagenome. RNAcentral describes it as "bacterial SSU rRNA". It matches the Rfam family "Bacterial small subunit ribosomal RNA". The record is from RNAcentral.